AAAACCAACCUUCCGACGGUUGGUUAACACUCCUCGACAGUUGAGAUAGGGUUUUCAUCAUUAUUCAUUUGGUGGCUAAAUAUUACUCAUGGGACGUUUCUAGAGAAUGCAAGACCAUGUUUGAGUGAGAAAUUGGUCUCGAUGAAAUUGAGAGUUCAAUGAACAGCACAUACAAUGCAAGUAAAUCUACCUACUCAAACCCAUCUUCUAUUUCUAAAGCAGAAGGGCUUUCGGUGGCUGCAACAAGUGAGUGACUAAGUUUUUUAUCACCCGUAUUAUUUGUUAUCACUAGGAAAAGAAAGCUGAGUAGAAAAAGUAGAAUGCCAAAUGGAAAAAAAAAAAGAUUUAGUAA
This is a long non-coding RNA of Cucumis sativus (cucumber), 352 nucleotides long. RefSeq lists it as uncharacterized. Lineage: Eukaryota; Viridiplantae; Streptophyta; Magnoliopsida; Cucurbitales; Cucurbitaceae. The transcript has 3 exons. The record is from RefSeq and is a predicted model, not a curated record.